UAUCAGACAAUAAUUUCUCUCUCCUUAAUCACCUUACCACCACUAACGAGGCUAGGUGGUUGCGGACAC
Myotis lucifugus (little brown bat) is the source of this 69-nucleotide non-coding RNA. The record is from Rfam. Lineage: Eukaryota; Metazoa; Chordata; Mammalia; Chiroptera; Vespertilionidae.